RNAcentral lists this ribosomal RNA (400 nucleotides) under phytoplankton environmental sample. RNAcentral's name for it is "partial small subunit ribosomal RNA". It matches the Rfam family "Eukaryotic small subunit ribosomal RNA", at positions 587 to 980 of the family's 1831-position model. The record is from RNAcentral.
AGCUCCAAUAGCGUAUAUUAAAGUUGUUGCAGUUAAAAAGCUCGUAGUUGGAUUUCUGGUACGCUGCGCCUGGCCCGCCUGCGUUAGCAGUGUGAGUGCCGGUUUUGCGCGGUUGCCAUCCUUCUGGGAAACGGGGCUGCCCUUCACUGGGUGGGCUCCGCGACUCAGAUCUUUUACUUUGAAAAAAUUAGAGUGUUUAAGGCAGGCAAUUGCUGUGAAUACAUUAGCAUGGAAUAAUGACAUAGGACUUGGGUUCUAUUUUGUUGGUUUCUAGGGCCGAAGUAAUGAUUGAUAGGGAUGGUUGGGGGUGCUAGUAUUGAGCGGCCAGAGGUGAAAUUCUUGGAUUCGCUCAAGACUAACUUAUGCGAAAGCAUUCACCAAGGACGUCUUCUUUAAUCAA